CAGGAAGCCAGCAUUUUUAAUAAAUAGGAAGUAAAUUAUAUUUAAUGACUAAAUUCUCACCUAAAGUUGAUACUAAUAUUACAAUAACUCUCUUGUGCCCUAUUUUGGUGUUUUAAACUUCUUUGCUGUACAUUUAAGAAAAUCAGAAUUUCAGUAGACUCCUCGUGCAGUCUGAGGAGGCAGUUUCCUAUCUGGUUUGACUUAAGGGGCUGCAGAAGACAUUCUUAUCCCACAUAUUUCUUCUGCUGAUCAGUCAGCAACUGAAAUUCCAACUAAUGGAUUCCAUUCUUCCAGUUAAGACAUCAUCUCCAGAAAACUGUGCUAGUUGGCAUCCAGCAGUGCCCAAGUAUUAUUUAACCCACUAGAACCUGUGACUGCAUCAGCUUUAUAUCCUGGACCUCAGCCUGGAACAAAGGAGAGCUACACUUGGAUACUAAACACAAGUGGUCUGGAUAGAUUAUGCUGGGAAAAGAAGCCUGGAGCAGGCAGUACAGUGGGAGAACAAGCAAAGAUGCAGGUGCGUCUAUGAAAGCGAACUUUGUCGAGAUCUCAGUGACACACUCUGCUUUUCCAAAUUGCCUCAAUUGGCAGUGAAUAUUAGAAAGAGUCAUGGAAUGUCUCUGGAAAGAUACAUAGGAGAACUAGUGACAUUGGAUCCUUGUGGGUAGGGAGACACUGUGUAAGUGCAUCAAAGAGGCUGACUUUUCACUGUGCACACUCCUUCAGACCACUGGAAAUUCGGAAUUGUAUACGGUGUGCAUGUAUUACCUCCUUAAAACUAGCUAGCUACCUAUCUACCUACCUACCUACCCACCCACCUACCUUCCUACCUGGCUAAUUCAUUAGCUAAGAGAGAAUGGAGUUGCAGCAGACUGCUCAGGAAUUGUACAUCACCAGUAGCUUCUGUCUCAGCUAAGUGUGGGAGACUGAUACUGAUGAGCCAUUAACAAUGGUGGAGAUUCUGAAUCACUGAAGCACUUGAUAAAAGAAAUGUCGUGGGUGAUGUGAAAAUCUACAUAUGCCCAUGAGAGUAUAUUGAGUUUGUAAGUGUUGUUGCUUAGUGUGUCACAGAGAAGUUUAUAAGAAACUAUUUUGGAGUAAGAAACAACACAGAAGAACACAGUUUCAGCCUGAAAUGGCUUAUUUAGCCACUGACCAUCAGAAACAAUUACUUUUUACCUUAACCUAGAUUUGUAAUAGCAGGAUGCAUUGAAUUCCUUCAUUGAAGUGAAACCUUAGCAAAUCUUUAAGUAGUACUCUAAAGUGACAAAAGGUGUUUACAUUUACUAAUGUAAAUUUCUUGUGGAGAUAAAGUUUUUAUUCUUCUUGGGUCUCAAGACUGCUCAAGAAGGAACCAUCGUUUGUUCUACACUGCUCUGUUCUAAAUGUUUGUUCCCCCAAUAUUCAUAUGUUGAAAUUCUAACCCCCAAGGAGAUAGUAUUAGGAGGUGGGGCCUUCGGGACAUGAUAAGGUCAUGAGGAUGAAGCCCUCAAGAAUAAGAUUCAUUGCCUUAUAAAGAAAAACCAGAAAGAUCCCUCAUUUCUUCAAUCAUAAGAAGACACAUGAGCAAGAAGACGGCCAGCUAUGAAGCAGGUCGUGGGCCCUCGCCAGACACUGAAUCUGCCAACACUUUGAUCUUGGAUUUCCUAGCCUGCAGAACUGUGAGAAAUAAAUUUCUUUUCUUUAUAAUCCACUCAGUCUAAGGUACUUUGUUCUAGCAGCCUGAAUGUACUGCGACAUAACACUCCCUUGCUGUUUUAUUGUUGAGAAAGGAGGAAGGGUAGGUCUUUUAUUGUUGAAUAAGGUGGGGAGGAGAGGACUUUUGGGGUGAGCACCGUGUGCUUAUUGCUGCUUGGAGUGGACUCUUUCUCACCCUAUAUUUAUGUGUUAAAUGGAGUAGGAUGUGAUUGGGCAUGUGGUUUUCAGCUACAUUAAAGUAGCUUCUUUGGGCUGUGUGAGAGACACUAAAUACCAUUUCAUAAACACUGAAAAAGAAGUCUCACAGAAGUGCUUGCCUUGGUGAUCCAAAAAAGGCAGGAUCCGGCCGGGGGCAAGGUGAUUAUUCUGUCUGAUGAGGAGAAUAAGAGCCAGUUUGUGGUAUUGACAGAAGAAUGAAAGUAAAGCAGUCUUGAAAGAUGGGAAGAUCAGGAGCAGUCUGGAGUCAUGGUAUAUGAAUGAACUAGUGAGAGUGGGCACAAAGUCUGAAGAUCUUUGUAGUGCAGCUAAUGUCUAAGGGAGAAUAUACCUACCCUAGAAGAGACAUUAAACAACCAGGAAGCUUACUGCAGGAAAGAAAUCCCUCAGAGUCCUGAAGAUACAGCUUUCAGAACUUAGGUGAAGCAAGAGGACUCAAGGUGUGCAAGAAUGGACAGUACAGAAUGCUCUGCUACACUGCUCAGAUUCCCCCUUCAGGAAGGAAGGACAAAUUCACUCAACUUCUGGGAGCAUUGAUGGUUGAGCUCUCAGCCAUCAGACCUUUUUGGAAGUUGCCCUCUUCUGAAAAGAGGCACAUUGCCCAAGAUCUUUCCUCCUCCAGAGCGCAGGCUGCACCUGAAGUCUGAUUGAUGUGGGGUAUGAUGGUCUGGUCUCCUUUCCCCAUCUAAAGGACUGUUCUAACCUCAGGGCUCUCCUUGAGUUUCCUUAGUUAGUUCUUAUUACUAUGUUGCAGUCCAACUUCUUCUUUGGCCUAAUUCUACUUUCCUCCCAUUCCCCAAUUGUUGAUCCUGACAGCAAUUUCCCCCCAAAUUUCUGUAAACUAAGCAUGAUCUCAGAGUCACCUGACCUGCAACAUUAUUACAUACACUAUAGUCCGUGCACUUAAAGAUUUAGUGAAAGUAUGCUGCUGAAGCUUGCCAGAACUUCCCUUCUUCCACUGAAAAUUUGUCUGUUCAUAGAUAUACACCAUUCGUUCUCUUCUCUACUUUGGCCAAUUAUCUUAUGUUUGGGAAGGUGUUCUGCUAGAAGACAAAAUAGCAAUUCUUAGAACUAGAAAGAAAAACACAUCAAAGUCUGUCCUUUCUUAUGUCUUUUCUAUCUACAACAAAUACCCUGUGAUAAAAAGGAUGAUAGGAAAUAUAAGUAGUUUGAGUCCACCAAAUAUUUGGCUUGAAGUAUUUGGGUAUGAAAUACAAACUCACUUGACCUGGGCUCAAAUUUGCCAGCACUUCUUUUCUUUCUUCUCUUUUCAGAAACAGACUUUAUUUAUAUCAAUGUUAACAUCAAUCACAUAACCAUCAGGAAGGCUGUAACUUUGAUUUUUUUUUGUCCAAUAGUUGGGCCAAGUUUACAUUUCUCUUAUUUUAUUUAUUUAUUAUUAUUAUUUUUUUGAGAUGGAGUCUUACUCUGUCACCCAGGCUGGAGUGCAAUGGCGUCAUCUCAGCUCACUGCAACCUCCGCCUCCUGGGUUCAAACAAUUCUCCUGCCUCAGCCUCCUGAGAAGCAGGGAUUACAAGUGUGUGCCACCACGCCCGGCUAAUAUUUGUACUUUCAGUAGAGAACGGGGGUUUCACCAUGUUGCUCAGGUGGUCCCGAACUCCUGACCUUGCGAUCCACCCGCCUUGAACUCCCAAAGUGCUGGGAUUACAGGUGUGAGCCACCGUGCCUGGACCAUUUCUUUUCUCAUAUAUCAGCCUAUGCCAGGGGGGAGACUGGCUGAGGUUAAAGGCUAAUGUCAAGUACUAACUGAACAACAAAUGGAUAACCUCAACAAUGCAAUAUCCUGGUUGAAAUUGUUAGUGAAUUUUUUUAGCAGACCUGAGAUCUAUGUAUCUCCAUUCAACAAGUAAAGGUAGACUAUUUCCUUAAAUGCAAAUUCCUAUAAAAAAUAUCAGAAGUAUGUUAUGUAUUUAAAGUUAAAAAGCAUAUAACUUUUUAAAUGUUUAAUAAAAUUCACCAGUAUACACCAUCAUUUUCAUUGAGAAAAGUAGUUCAACCAAUCUACAAAGGCCAAAAAUAUUUUCACAGGCCCCCAAAAGAUGAACUCCAAUCUGCUGCCCCUAAACGCAUUCUCCACUGUCUGGAAGAUGUGCAAAGGCAACGGCACAGCGUUCUCCAUCUCAAAUCCUUCAAAGUGCUGUCAGAAUAAAAGAAUCCCCACCAAAAGCCCCAGGGAAAUCUAUCUGUCUGUAUGGUAUGGUAAUGACUGAGGUUAUUCCAGAUAGGAUUCUGGGAGAAACUCAGCUAUUGAAAUCUAAUGAAUGGAACUGAGAAUUUCUUGUUAUAAUACUGUUUGUUUGAUUGAAUAUAUCCUUGCAUAUAGGAAGACAUAAAAAUAAAUAAUAAAAGCAAGAUAUUAUUUGAA
Molecule: long non-coding RNA, 4300 nt
Filed under: Homo sapiens (human)
Lineage: Eukaryota; Metazoa; Chordata; Mammalia; Primates; Hominidae
Description: non-protein coding LINC01013:12
Source: RNAcentral